RNAcentral lists this ribosomal RNA (451 nucleotides) under uncultured bacterium. Its description in RNAcentral is "bacterial SSU rRNA". It matches the Rfam family "Bacterial small subunit ribosomal RNA", at positions 29 to 472 of the family's 1533-position model. The record is from RNAcentral.
AUUGAACGCUGGCGGCAUGCUUUACACAUGCAAGUCGAGCGGCAGCGCGGGGGGCAACCCUGGCGGCGAGCGGCGAACGGGUGAGUAAUGCAUCGGAACGUACCCUGGAGUGGGGGAUAACGCCGCGAAAGCGGCGCUAAUACCGCAUAUGCUCUGAGGAGGAAAGUGGGGGACCGCAAGGCCUCACGCUCUGGGAGCGGCCGAUGUCCGAUUAGCUAGUUGGUGAGGUAAAGGCUUACCAAGGCGACGAUCGGUAGCUGGUCUGAGAGGAUGAUCAGCCACACUGGGACUGAGACACGGCCCAGACUCCUACGGGAGGCAGCAGUGGGGAAUUUUGGACAAUGGGGGCAAGCCUGAUCCAGCCAUGCCGCGUGAGUGAAGAAGGCCUCGGUUGGUAAGACGUCUUUCGGUCCGGGAAGAAGUACGCAUAGGCUAAUACCCUAGUCGUGGA